UACGGAGGGGACUAGCGUUGUUCGGAAUUACUGGGCGUAAAGCGUGCGCAGGCGGUGAUGUAAGACAGAUGUGAAAUCCCCGGGCUCAACCUGGGAACUGCAUUUGUGACUGCAUCGCUGGAGUACGGCAGAGGGGGAUGGAAUUCCGCGUGUAGCAGUGAAAUGCGUAGAUAUGCGGAGGAACACCGAUGGCGAAGGCAAUCCCCUGGGCCUGUACUGACGCUCAUGCACGAAAGCGUGGGGAGCAAACAGG
This 253-nucleotide ribosomal RNA is filed under the name uncultured bacterium. RNAcentral's name for it is "partial 16S ribosomal RNA". It matches the Rfam family "Bacterial small subunit ribosomal RNA", at positions 524 to 776 of the family's 1533-position model. The record is from RNAcentral.